UAGCGGAGAAAUUCCAAUCGAACUCGGAGAUAGCUGGUUCUCCUCGAAAUAGCUUUAGGGCUAGCCUUGAGAAAAAAGAUAUGUGGGGGUAGAGCACUGAAGGUGCUAGGGGCCUCAACCAGGUUACUGAACACUAUCAAACUACGAAUACCAUAUAGAAAUCUCAGGAGUCAGACUGCGGGAGCUAAGUUCCGUGGUCAAAAGGGAAAGAGCCCAGAUCGUCAAUUAAGGUCCCAAAGAUAUAGCUAAGUGGCAAACGAUGUGAUUUUGCGUAAACAACCAGGAUGUUGGCUUAGAAGCAGCCAUACAUUUAAAGAGUGCGUAAUAGCUCACUGGUCGAGUGAAGUUGCGCGGAAAAUUACCGGGGCUAAGCUAUACACCGAAAUUGCGGAUUUACACUUGAAAGAUAGUGUAAGUGGUAGAGGAGCAUUCUGUAGUAGGGAGAAGCAAAAGCGAGAGCAUUUGUGGACGAGGCAGAAGAGAGAAUGCUGGAAUAAGUAGCGAGAGCAAGGUGAGAAUCCUUGCCGUCGAAAGUCUAAGGUUUCCUGGGGAAGGUUCGUCCGCCCAGGGUAAGUCGGGACCUAAGGUGAGGCUGAAAAGCGUAGCCGAUGGAUAGCAGGUUGAGAUUCCUGCACUAUAGAUAUACUUAAAAGAUGCAAGGGACGCAGGAGUGGAAGAUAAGCGAGGAAGAGGAAAGACUCGUAUCGCAAGAUAUAGUGAAAAUAAAGUAACGAAUUAUCAAGAAGCACACUGACGAGAAAAGCUUGUAGAUAUUGUAUAUAAAUACCCGUACCGCAAACCGACACAGGUAGAUGAGGAGAGGAUCCUAAGACGAGCGGGAGAAGCAUUGUUAAGGAACUCGGCAAAUUGACCCCGUAACUUAGGGAGAAGGGGUGCCAAGGUAAAACUUGGUCGCAGAGAAGAGUCCCAAGCAACUGUUUAACAAAAACACAGGUUUCUGCUAAAUCGAAAGAUGAAGUAUAGGAGCUGACGCCUGCCCAGUGCUGGAAGGUUAAGGGGAAGGGUUAGGAGUAAUCCGAAGCCUAGAACUAAAGCCCCAGUGAACGGCGGCCGUAACUAUAACGGUCCUAAGGUAGCGAAAUUCCUUGUCAGGUAAGUUCUGACCCGCACGAAAGGCGUAAUGAUUUGGGAGCUGUCUCAACAAUAUACUCGGCGAAAUUGUAGUACUAGUGAAGAUGCUAGUUACCUGCGACAAGACAGAAAGACCCCAUGGAGCUUUACUGUAGCUUGAUAUUGGGUUUCGGUAAUUUAUGUACAGGAUAGGUGGGAGACUGAGAAGUUCUGGCGUCAGCUAGAAUGGAGUCACCCUUGGGAUACCACCCUUAAGUUAUUGAAAUUCUAACCUGUGAUCAUAAACUGGUCAGGGGACAAUGUCAGGCGGGCAGUUUGACUGGGGCGGUCGCCUCCUAAAGAGUAACGGAGGCGCCCAAAGGUUCCCUCAGCACGGACAGAAAUCGUGCGAAAGAGUGCAAAGGCAGAAGGGAGCUUAACUGAAAGACAGACAUGUCGAGCAGAUACGAAAGUAGGGCUUAGUGAUCCGGCGGUAGUGAGUGGAAAUGCCGUCGCUCAACGGACAAAAGUUACCCUGGGGAUAACAGGCUUAUCUCCCCCAAGAGUUCACAUCGACGGGGAGGUUUGGCACCUCGAUGUCGGCUCAUCGCAUCCUGGAGCGGAAGUACGUUCCAAGGGUUGGGCUGUUCGCCCAUUAAAGCGGUACGCGAGCUGGGUUCAGAA
RNAcentral lists this ribosomal RNA (1755 nucleotides) under human gut metagenome. RNAcentral's name for it is "bacterial LSU rRNA". It matches the Rfam family "Bacterial large subunit ribosomal RNA", at positions 816 to 2616 of the family's 2925-position model. The record is from RNAcentral.